This 4210-nucleotide long non-coding RNA is filed under the name Salmo salar (Atlantic salmon). RNAcentral's name for it is "lncRNA (ENSSSAG00000105496.1)". Lineage: Eukaryota; Metazoa; Chordata; Actinopteri; Salmoniformes; Salmonidae. The record is from RNAcentral.
UAUUCCAUUACCGUACUUAGAAGCAUGUCAAACGCUGUUUAAAAUCAAUUUUUAUGCUACUUUUCUAGUAAAAUAGCGAUAAUAUUCCAACCGGGCAAUGUUGUAUUCAUUCAGAGAGAGAAAGAAAAACAUGGAGAAGUCUCGUGAACACACAUCUCAGUCUCACUGUCCCCAGGCUGACCACUCACAAACAGAGCUACUGUACUUUGCCCAGAGACAACAGACACCUCAUUCCACUUUCCGGCGGCUUUAAAGAGCCAAUGGAAGCCUUAGAAAGUGUCACGUUACAGCACAGAUGCUGUAUUUUCGAUAGAGAUGCAACAGAAGGACAACAAAUUGUCAGACAGGGCACUUCCUGUAUGGAAUCUUCUCAGGUUUUAGCCUGCCAUAUGACUUCUGUUAUACUCACAGACACCAUUCAAACCGUUUUAGAAACUUUAGAGUGUUUUCUAUCCAAAUCUACUAAAUAUAUGCAUGUUCUAGUUUCUAGGCAGGAGUAGUAACCAGAUUAAAUCGGGUACGUUUUUAUGCGACAGUAUAAAAAAUACAUUUUUGAUUGUUAAUUUCCUCAAUUAAGUUGGAAAAACAGGAUGAUCGAGCAGCAGUGAGGGCUCUUCGAUACUGCAAGGUACUGUCUUUCCAAGCUAGUCGGAAGACUUCCAGUUUGGUGUAGCGCCAUUUCCGUUCCAAUUUUUUGGAAGCUUGCUUCAGAGCUGGGGUAUUUUCUGUAUUUCAGGGAGCUGUUUUUAGGGCUGCAUCUAGGGUAUUACGCAAGGUUAAAUUGAGUUCCUCAGUUAGGUGGUUAACUGAUUUUUGUACUCUAACGUCCUUGAGUAGGUGGAGGGAGUCUGGAAGGGCAUCUUGGAAUCUUUGGGUUGUCCAAGAAUUUAUAGCAGGCUUUUGAUGAUCCUUGGUUGGGGUGUGAGUAGAUUAUUUGUUGCGAUUGCAAACGUAAUAAAAUGGUGGUCCAAUAGUCCAGGAUUAUGAGGAAAAACAUUAUGAUCCACAAUAUUUAUUCCACAGAAAAAACUAGGUCCAGAGUAUGACUGUGGCAGUGAGUAGGUCCGGAGACAUGUUGGACAAAACCCACUGAGUCGACGAUGGCUCCAAAAGCCUUUUGGAGUGGGUCUGUGACUUUUCCAUGUGAAUAUUAAAGUCACCAAAAAUGUGAAUAUUAUCUGCCAUGACUACAAGGGCUGAAAGGAAUUCAGGGAAAUCAGUGAGGAACGCCGUAUAUGGCCCAGGAGGCACAUGUAAACAGUAGCUAUAAAAAAGUGAUUGAGUAGGCUGCAUAGAUUACAUGACUAGAAGCUCAAAAGACAAAAAUGCAGUCGUAUUUUAUUUUGUAAAUGUUAAUUUGCUGUCGUGAAUGUUAGCAACACCUCCGCCUUUGCGGGAUGCCUGGGGGAUAUGGUCACUAGUGUAACCAGGAGGUAAGGCCUCUGUCAGAAGCGUCGUAGUGAAGAGACCAAGGCACAGCGUGGAUAGUGCUCAUUCUUAAUUUAUUUUAUGAGAACACUUAAACAGCAAAAUAACACCGACCAACCGUUCCGUCAGGUAAAACAACUAAACGGAAAAUAACCACCCACAAAACCUAAAGGAAAACAGGCUGCCUAAGUAUGGCUUCCAAUCAGAGACAACGAAAGACACCUGCCUCUGAUUGGAAACCAUACUUGGCCAAACCUGGAAAACGAAGCAUAGAAAAUGAAAACUAGAACAAAUUCCCCUUGAACCAAAAAACCCCCAAACACACAAAACAACCCCCCUGCCACGCCCUGAUCAUUCUACUAUGGCAAAUGACCCUUUUCACUGGUCAGGACGUGACAGCCUCAUUUAACACAGUAAAUUCAUCAGGCUUAAGCCAUGUUUCAGUCAGGCCAAUCACAUCAAGAUUAUGAUCAGUGAUUAGUUCAUUGACUAUAACUGCCUUGGAAGUGAGGGAUCUAACAUUAAGUAGCCCUAUUUUGAGAUGUGAGAUAUCAAUAUCUCUUUCAAUAAUGACAUGAAUGGAGGAGGUCUUUAUUCCAGUGAGAUUGCUCAGGCCAAACACCGCCAUGUUUUGUUUUGCCCAACCAAGAUCGAACCACAGACACUGUCCCAAUGCUGAUAUCUGAGCUGACUACACUGACUGUGCUAGUGGCAGACUCCACUAAGCUGUAGACUGGCUAACAGCAUGCUGCCUGGUGUGAACCCUAUCUCAUAGGGUAGUUAAAGCCCUGUGUAUGUUCGUAGAUAAGACGAGAACACCCCUCCAGCUAGGAUGGAGUCCGUCACUCCUCAGCAGGCCAGUCUUGGUCCUGUUUGUGGGUGAGUCCCAGAAAGAGGGCCAAUUAUCUACAAAUUCUAUCUUUUGGGAGGGGCAGAAAACAGUUUUAAACCAGCGAUUGAGUUGUGAGACUCUGCUGUAGAGCUCAUCACUCCCCCUAACUGGGAGGGGGCCAGAGACUAUUACUCGAUGCCGACACAUCUUUCUAGCUGAUUUACACGCUGAAGCUAUGUUGCGCUUGGUGACCUCUGACUGUUUCAUGCUAACAUCGUUGUUGCCGACGUGGAUAACAGUAUCCCUAUACUCUCUACACUCACCAGUUUUAGCCUUCGCCAGCACCAGCUUCAGAAUAGCCUUAACAUCGGUAGCCCUGCACCCUGGUAAAUAGUGUAUGAUCGCUGGAUGAUUCGUUUUAAGUCUAAUAUUGCGGGUAAUGGAGUCAUCAAUGACUUGGGUUUUCAACUUGUCAGAGCUAAUGGUGGGAGGCUUCAGCGUCUCAGACACCGUAACUGGAGGAGGAGAGACCAGAGAAGGCUCUGCCUCUGAUCCGUUGCUUAAGGGGGAGAACCGGUUGAAAGUUUCUGUCGGCUUUCCUACAGCAUUUCCUUCCAGAAGCCAUGAGAAAAUUGUCCGGCUGCGGGGACUGUGCGAGGGGAUUUAUACUAACGUUACUAUCUGUACUUACUGGUGGCACAGACGCUGUUUCAUCCUUUCCUACACUUAAAUUACCCUUGCCUAACGAUUGCGUCUGAAGCUGGGCUUGCAGCACAGCUAUCCUCGCCAUAAGGCGAUCGUUCUCCUGUAUUAUGAGUACAGUGACUGCAAUUAGAGGGCAUAAUAUUAAUGUUACUACUUAGCUUCGGGCUAGUGGAGGUCCUGACGAACCACGUCCAGAUAAAGCGUCCGGGGUGAAAAAGUUGAAUGAAAAAAGUUGAGCGAGGGAAAAAAUUCUGAGGCUGGAACCCUACUGGCAGCACUUGACUACAGCCUUUGUAACCAUCAUCCAACCUUGGAGAACGCAUAGGGCAACAUGAUCUAAAGAAGACUCUACAAUAGCAAGCUUCGAAGGUGAAGUGUCUACGCAUUGAAAACUACAAAGGACUACAUUGACAUCCCAGAGCUUCAGAGAGAAGUGUUGAGAAGACUGGGCUCUCAAUUGGGGCUACCAAGGAGAAUGAUCCUGUGAUCAGAUGACCCAAGACUCCCUGAAGUGCCACACCAACAAUGGCUGAGCUGCUACAACUUCGAGAAGUCACCACGCAACACAGGGUGCAGUAAGCUGGGAAGGACUGGAGAUUUCCUUGCUGUCAGAUUUGGUGGUUCCCGGGAGGUGUGAAAAUAUACAGAGUACUCAGAAUUGUUGUUAAAAGUGGUGGGCCUACAACCAAACAUAUAAAUCAAAUAAAUCAGGGAAGUUUGUGGUGGCAAGCUAAGCUAUCCUGGAUAAAAAUUAACACAUUUACAAAAAGGGAACUUCCUAGGUGGACUAUCCGUACCAAACGAUAAAUUGUAUUUCCAGGCACUAGCAUUUUGCCCCAUCCUAAAUUGGUUUAGACAUGAUUCUUCCGUCCCCUUGGCUGAGUAUAGAGAGACAUAUGGUAUCUCCUUUUGCCCUGGAAGAGAUGGCCUUCACUGAUAUAUCCCUUUAACAAUGUAAACUACACUUUGGUCCUAAUAUUGUUCACCAAUAAUAACACUAUGUAUUCAGGACAAAAGUUAAUUGCUUUGCCACAAUUUUUGCAGUAUUACUUUAAUGCCUUGUUGCAAACAGGAUGCAUGUUUUGGAAUGUUUUUAUUCUGUACAGGCUUCCUGUACAGAGUAACUACAGUGUUGUUGAUCCAUCUUCAGUUUUCUCCUAUCACAGCCAUUAAACUCUAACUGUUUUAAGGUCACCAUCAGCCUUUUUUUUAACCAAUUUACCAAUAGGUGCCCUUCAUUGCGAG